GUACUCUCUUGGGCAGCGCAUACACUAAAAUUAGAGUGAUACAGAGAUUAGCAUGGCCCUUGUGCAGGAAUGGCAUGCAAAUUUGUGAAGCAUUUCAUAUUAAA
Molecule: small nuclear RNA, 104 nt
Organism: Sorex araneus (European shrew)
Lineage: Eukaryota; Metazoa; Chordata; Mammalia; Eulipotyphla; Soricidae
Source: Ensembl